GUUAUUGAAGCAAGUCCAGGUAUUGCAAAAGAUCUAAACCCUUUUUAUAGAGGUUCAAAUCCUCUCUCUAACU
RNAcentral lists this transfer RNA (73 nucleotides) under Pristimantis curtipes (Intac robber frog). Its description in RNAcentral is "tRNA-Leu". It matches the Rfam family "tRNA". From Rfam's summary of the family: Transfer RNA (tRNA) molecules are approximately 80 nucleotides in length. Their secondary structure includes four short double-helical elements and three loops (D, anti-codon, and T loops). The record is from RNAcentral. Lineage: Eukaryota; Metazoa; Chordata; Amphibia; Anura; Strabomantidae.